Molecule: small nucleolar RNA, 107 nt
Organism: Dioscorea cayenensis subsp. rotundata (Guinea yam)
Lineage: Eukaryota; Viridiplantae; Streptophyta; Magnoliopsida; Dioscoreales; Dioscoreaceae
Source: RefSeq, a predicted model, not a curated record
ACCCUAUGUUAAGGACAUUUCCAUAGGAACUCCUUGAACCUAUCCCAUGUCUCAAAAAGAGACUCCAAUUCCAUUUGCACAAGUUUAGAUAUUUCAUUCAUAAGCUU